AUACGUAGGGUGCGAGCGUUGUCCGGAAUUACUGGGCGUAAAGAGCUCGUAGGUGGUUUGUCGCGUCGUCUGUGAAAUUCCGGGGCUUAACUCCGGGCGUGCAGGCGAUACGGGCAUAACUUGAGUACUGUAGGGGAGACUGGAAUUCCUGGUGUAGCGGUGAAAUGCGCAGAUAUCAGGAGGAACACCGGUGGUGAAGGCGGGUCUCUGGGCAGUAACUGACGCUGAGGAGCGAAAGCAUGGGUAGCGAACAGGAUUAGAUACCCUGGUAGUCCAUGCCGUAAACGGUGGGCGCUAGGUGUAGGGGUCUUCCACGACUUCUGUGCCGUAGCUAACGCCUUAAGCGCACCGCCUGGGGAGUACGGCCGCAAGGCUAACACUCAAAUGAAUUGACGGGG
This 398-nucleotide ribosomal RNA is filed under the name uncultured bacterium. Its description in RNAcentral is "partial 16S ribosomal RNA". It matches the Rfam family "Bacterial small subunit ribosomal RNA", at positions 523 to 918 of the family's 1533-position model. The record is from RNAcentral.